AGUUGGUGGAGCGAUUUGUCUGGU
RNAcentral lists this non-coding RNA (24 nucleotides) under Arabidopsis thaliana (thale cress). The record is from RNAcentral. RNAcentral also lists the same sequence under 6 other names. Lineage: Eukaryota; Viridiplantae; Streptophyta; Magnoliopsida; Brassicales; Brassicaceae.